RNAcentral lists this unclassified non-coding RNA (229 nucleotides) under plant metagenome. Its description in RNAcentral is "partial contains small subunit ribosomal RNA, internal transcribed spacer 1, and 5.8S ribosomal RNA". The record is from RNAcentral.
GCUCCGUAGGUGAACCUGCGGAGGGAUCAUUACAGAGUUCAUGCCCUACCGGGUAGAUCUCCCACCCUAUGUUAUUAUUACUUUGUUGCUUUGGCUGGCCGUUAGGCUCCGGCCCGACUACCGGCCCCGGCUGGUAAGCGCCCGCCAGAGGACCCAAAACCCUGAAUAUUAGUGUCGUCUGAGUACUAUAUAAUAGUUAAAACUUUCAACAACGGAUCUCUUGGUUCUG